Molecule: ribosomal RNA, 793 nt
Filed under: Arthrobacter tumbae
Lineage: Bacteria; Bacillati; Actinomycetota; Actinomycetes; Micrococcales; Micrococcaceae
Description: bacterial SSU rRNA
Rfam family: Bacterial small subunit ribosomal RNA
Source: RNAcentral
CUUGACUCUGGGAUAAGCCUGGGAAACUGGGUCUAAUACUGGAUACGACCUUCCAUCGCAUGGUGGUUGGUGGAAAGCUUUUGUGGUUUUGGAUGGACUCGCGGCCUAUCAGCUUGUUGGUGGGGUAAUGGCCUACCAAGGCGACGACGGGUAGCCGGCCUGAGAGGGUGGACGGCCACACUGGGACUGAGACACGGCCCAGACUCCUACGGGAGGCAGCAGUGGGGAAUAUUGCACAAUGGGCGCAAGCCUGAUGCAGCGACGCCGCGUGAGGGAUGAAGGCCUUCGGGUUGUAAACCUCUUUCAGUAGGGAAGAAGCGAAAGUGACGGUACCUGCAGAAGAAGCGCCGGCUAACUACGUGCCAGCAGCCGCGGUAAUACGUAGGGCGCAAGCGUUAUCCGGAAUUAUUGGGCGUAAAGAGCUCGUAGGCGGUUUGUCGCGUCUGCCGUGAAAGUCCGGGGCUUAACUCCGGAUCUGCGGUGGGUACGGGCAGACUUGAGUGAUGUACGGGAGACUGGAAUUCCUGGUGUAGCGGUGAAAUGCGCAGAUAUCAGGAGGAACACCGAUGGCGAAGGCAGGUCUCUGGGCAUUAACUGACGCUGAGGAGCGAAAGCAUGGGGAGCGAACAGGAUUAGAUACCCUGGGUAGUCCAUGCCGUAAACGUUGGGCACUAGUGUGGGGGACAUUCCACGUUUUCCGCGCCGUAGCUAACGCAUUAAGUGCCCCGCCUGGGGAGUACGGCGCAAGGCUAAACUCAAAGGAAUUGACGGGGGCCCGCACAAGCGCGGAGCA